This 862-nucleotide long non-coding RNA is filed under the name Theobroma cacao (cacao). RNAcentral's name for it is "long non-coding RNA (TCAC_LNC002825)". Lineage: Eukaryota; Viridiplantae; Streptophyta; Magnoliopsida; Malvales; Malvaceae. The record is from RNAcentral.
GUAUUCUGAAUAUUCUUGGAUGUAUAAAAGAAAAAUGACAUGUUGGUUUAAUUUUGCAGCUUCCAAUCAUAUUUGGAUUAUUUUUCCUUCACUUGGAAGAAAAUUACACAUGGAAUAUCAGAGUAACUGAUCUGGACAAAUAAAUUUGGUCCCCACAGAAUAUGGUCCUCAACUAAGGUUCCAUGUGAUUGGUUUUUAACGGUUGGACGAAUCAAAUUUGCUUCAAUUGUGGGAGUCUACCUCAAUCCAAACAAUGUUUGUCCUUCACUUCAGUUUGGACCACCAUUACCAGCUCUGAAACUUUGCAGAAGGAGCCAGAUUCUACAGUGAUAAUCACUGUCUUCCAAAGGCUUUGAUAAUUGAACCACCCAAAAAAAGUAUGUAUAUUUUUUCUGAAAUGGUUUGGGCACUUGGGUUGUUUUCAUUAAAGAGAAUCCCUCAUAAGCUGCUUGCCAAUUUCUUAAGGUAACUUUUUCAUGUACUAGGUUUAGGUUUAAGUUUCAUAAUGCAAGUGAAAGUUUAGAAUGGCUUAACAAAACCUGAAGGCAGAGGCAGAUUAUUCCCUCAAUGUAUAGCUAUUUGAAAUAUUUAAUUUCAGAUGCCCUUCUUGGUUAUAUUUUGAGCACCAACCUUCAAUCCUUUUAGGUAAUGGAAGGUCCCACCAGGUUGAUGUUGGAAAGACGGAGGCUCUAAAAGAAGAAGAUUCCCAACAGAUGCUGAUUGAAAGCUAUAAUGAUGGAAUUCUAACACAUUGUUUUAUAUGGUUUUGGCCUGGUGUCAACCAAUUUGUGUUGAGAGGAAAAAAAAGGCUAGAUAGAUGUUUGGAAUGCAUUUGAAUGCCAUGCCUUUUUUUUUAGCAGAA